AGUGCAUCGGAAACUGGGAGACUUGAGUGCAGAAGAGGACAGUGGAACCUCCAUGUGUAGCGGUGGAAUGCGUAGAUAUAUGGAAGAACACCAGUGGCGAAGGCGGCUGUCUAGUCUGUAACUGACGCUGAGGCUCGAAAGCAUGGGUAGCGAACAGGAUUAGAUACCCUGGUAGUCCAUGCCGUAAACGAUGAGUGCUAAGUGUUGGAGGGUUUCCGCCCUUCAGUGCUGCAGCUAACGCAUUAAGCACUCCGCCUGGGGAGUACGACCGCAAGGUUGAAACUCAAAGGAAUUGACGGGGGCCCGCACAAGCGGUGGAGCAUGUGGUUUAAUUCGAAGCUACGCGAAGAACCUUACCAGGUCUUGACAUCUUCUGCCAAUCUUAGAGAUAAGACGUUCCCUUCGGGGACAGAAUGACAGGUGGUGCAUGGUUGUCGUCAGCUCGUGUCGUGAGAUGUUGGGUUAAGUCCCGCAACGAGCGCAACCCUUAUUAUCAGUUGCCAGCAUUCAGUUGGGCACUCUGGUGAGACUGCCGGUGACAAACCGGAGGAAGGUGGGGAUGACGUCAAAUCAUCAUGCCCCUUAUGACCUGGGCUACACACGUGCUACAAUGGACGGUACAACGAGUCGCAAAGUCGUGAGGCUAAGCUAAUCUCUUAAAGCCGUUCUCAGUUCGGAUUGUAGGCUGCAACUCGCCUACAUGAAGUUGGAAUCGCUAGUAAUCGCGGAUCAGCAUGCCGCGGUGAAUACGUUCCCGGGCCUUGUACACACCGCCCGUCACACCAUGAGAGUUUGUAACACCCAAAGCCGGUGAGAUAACCUUCGGGAGUCAGCCGUCUAAGGUGGGACAGAUGAUUAGGGUGAAGUCGUAACAAGGUAGCCGUAGGAGAACCUGCGGCUGGAUCACCUCCUUUCUGAAUC
RNAcentral lists this ribosomal RNA (921 nucleotides) under Lactobacillus sp. B10. RNAcentral describes it as "bacterial SSU rRNA". It matches the Rfam family "Bacterial small subunit ribosomal RNA", at positions 620 to 1533 of the family's 1533-position model. The record is from RNAcentral. Lineage: Bacteria; Bacillati; Bacillota; Bacilli; Lactobacillales; Lactobacillaceae.